GACGUAGGGGGCGAGCGUUGUUCGGAAUUACUGGGCGUAAAGAGCUCGUAGGCUGGAAAUUAAGUCUUUGAAUAAAUCUCCCGGCUUAACCGGGAACAAUUUAGAGAUACUGAUUUUCUUGAGAACAGGAGAGGGGAAUGGAAUUCCUAGUGUAGCGGUGAAAUGCGUAGAUAUUAGGAGGAACACCAGUGGCGAAGGCGGUUCUCUGGCCAGUUUCUGACGCUGAGGAGCGAAAGCUGGGGGAGCGAACGGGAUUAGAUACCCCGGUAGUCCCAGCUGUAAACGAUGGAUACUAGGUGUAGGAGGUAUCGACCCCUUCUGUGCCGCAGUUAACACAAUAAGUAUCCCGCCUGGGGAGUACGGCCGCAAGGCUAAA
This 376-nucleotide ribosomal RNA is filed under the name uncultured bacterium. RNAcentral's name for it is "bacterial SSU rRNA". It matches the Rfam family "Bacterial small subunit ribosomal RNA", at positions 524 to 898 of the family's 1533-position model. The record is from RNAcentral.